RNAcentral lists this ribozyme (116 nucleotides) under Aedes aegypti (yellow fever mosquito). RNAcentral's name for it is "drz-agam-1 ribozyme". It matches the Rfam family "drz-agam-1 ribozyme". The record is from Rfam by way of RNAcentral. Lineage: Eukaryota; Metazoa; Arthropoda; Insecta; Diptera; Culicidae.
UGCCCAGCAACUCCUAUCCCUACCUCCUCGCGGUACUGGCCGGGGUACGAGUAACCUUAGAGAAGAUCGAGUAGCUAACCCCGGUGGGAACUCUGGUCGUAUGCUGACAGGGAAAG